RNAcentral lists this ribosomal RNA (690 nucleotides) under uncultured Bacillota bacterium. RNAcentral describes it as "bacterial SSU rRNA". It matches the Rfam family "Bacterial small subunit ribosomal RNA", at positions 76 to 748 of the family's 1533-position model. The record is from RNAcentral. Lineage: Bacteria; Bacillati; Bacillota.
AUGCUUGCAUCUCUGAGACUUAGCGGCGGACGGGUGAGUAACACGUAGGUAACCUGCCUGUAAGACCGGGAUAACAUUCGGAAACGAAUGCUAAUACCGGAUACGCGAAUCGGUCGCAUGACCGGAUCGGGAAAGACGGAGCAAUCUGUCACUUACAGAUGGACCUGCGGCGCAUUAGCUAGUUGGUGAGGUAACGGCUCACCAAGGCGACGAUGCGUAGCCGACCUGAGAGGGUGAUCGGCCACACUGGGACUGAGACACGGCCCAGACUCCUACGGGAGGCAGCAGUGGGGAAUCUUGCGCAAUGGGCGAAAGCCUGACGCAGCGACGCCGCGUGCGGGAGGACGCUUUUCGGAGUGUAAACCGCUGUCGGGGGGGAAGAAAUGUCGGGGGAGGAAAUGCCCUUGAUUUGACGGUACCCUCAAAGGAAGCACCGGCUAACUCUGUGCCAGCAGCCGCGGUAAUACAGAGGGUGCGAGCGUUGUUCGGAAUUACUGGGCGUAAAGCGCGCGCAGGCGGCCCUUUAAGUCUGUCGGUCAAACGCCGGGGCUCAACCCCGUGCUCGCCGGAGAUACUGGAGGGCUGGAGACAGGUAGAGGCAGGCGGAAUUCCGGGUGUAGCGGUGGAAUGCGUAGAGAUCCGGAAGAACACCAGAGGCGAAGGCGGCCUGCUGGGCCUUGUCUGACGCUG